GAUUAACGCUGGCGGCGUGCAUAACACAUGCAAGUCGAACGAUGAAACUUAGUAGACUUCUUCGGAAAGACACUAAGCGGCUUAGUGGCGAACGGGUGAGUAACGCGUGAGUAACCUGCCUUACACAAGGGGAUAGCCUUUGGAAACGAAGAAUAAUACCCUAUAAAACUAUAAAAGCACAUGCUAGAAUGGUCAAAGUGCUAGCGGUGUAAGAUGGACUUGCGUCUGAUUAGCUAGUUGGUGAGAUAAAAGCUCACCAAGGCAACGAUCAGUAGCCGGCUUGAGAGAGUGUACGGCCACAUUGGGACUGAGACACGGCCCAGACUCCUACGGGAGGCAGCAGGGGGGAAUUUUGCACAAUGGGGGAAACCCUGAUGCAGCGACGCCGCGUGAUUUAGAAGGCCUUCGGGUUGUAAAAAUCUUUUGUAUAGGAAGAAAAUGACAGUACUAUACGAAUAAGGUCCGGCUAAUUACGUG
This 477-nucleotide ribosomal RNA is filed under the name uncultured bacterium. Its description in RNAcentral is "partial 16S ribosomal RNA". It matches the Rfam family "Bacterial small subunit ribosomal RNA", at positions 28 to 507 of the family's 1533-position model. The record is from RNAcentral.